Molecule: unclassified non-coding RNA, 169 nt
Filed under: soil metagenome
Description: partial contains 5.8S ribosomal RNA, internal transcribed spacer 2, and large subunit ribosomal RNA
Source: RNAcentral
AAGACUAUAGACCUGCGGAGUACCUGCGGAGGGAUCAUUAGUGAACGCCCUCACGGGCUUAUAACUAUUCCAAACCUCUGUGAACCGUGCCCUUCGGGGCUAUUUUACAAACAUGGUGUAAUGAACGUCAUAUAUCAUAACAAAACAAAACUUUCAGCAAUGGAUCUCU